UGAUUAGUGAAAUUAUUUAACAUUACCAGUACUACAGUCCGGAAAGGUCUGAUUAAGGUUGAAGUGUCAAGUGGUAUAUUUGUUUUAAGCUGUUGUGAUAUGCCAAGAAAAAUUACUCUGAUGUCACUUAAUUCACUCCAUCAUUAUGAAGGAAUUAAGAAUACAAUGGUCCGCUUCUUAUCUGCUGUUCUGCUAUCUUCAGUUUCUGUCACCCACAGUCAACCGCAGUCUAAAAACAUUAAGUGUAAAAUUCUAGAAAUAAACAACUUACAAGUUUUAAA
Myotis brandtii (Brandt's bat) is the source of this 281-nucleotide long non-coding RNA. RefSeq lists it as uncharacterized. The transcript is spliced from 2 exons. The record is from RefSeq and is a predicted model, not a curated record. Lineage: Eukaryota; Metazoa; Chordata; Mammalia; Chiroptera; Vespertilionidae.